UACAGAGGUCUCAACCGUUGUUCGGAUUCAUUGGGCGUAAAGGGUGCGUAGGCGGUCGCGCAAGUCGGAUGUGAAAUCUCAGGGCUCAACCCUGAAACUGCAUUCGAUACUGCGUGGCUAGAGUGCUGGAGAGGAGACUGGAAUUUACGGUGUAGCAGUGAAAUGCGUAGAUAUCAGGAGGAACACCGAUGGCGAAGGCAGGUCUCUGGGCUGACACUGACGCUCAUGCACGAAAGCGUGGGGAGCAAACAGG
RNAcentral lists this ribosomal RNA (253 nucleotides) under uncultured bacterium. RNAcentral's name for it is "partial 16S ribosomal RNA". It matches the Rfam family "Bacterial small subunit ribosomal RNA", at positions 524 to 776 of the family's 1533-position model. The record is from RNAcentral.